AUGAAGGGAACACCAGGAGCCAGAACGGUGGCCAUCCUUGACAAAGCCAGGGCUUCCUGCUUGUUGAUGAUCAGCAUCGAGGCUGGGAGGCGACAGGUCGGAGCCUGCCCGGUGCUAAGCUACGCAUACCUCCUCGGAGCAGGGGCUGGUUCCCUUGUGUGGAAUGCCUGCCGUUUCGCACCACACAACUCCUGCGCUCACCCCCCCCCCCCAACCCUUCCUCAUGGGAGGGAGCAAGGUUGGAUGAGUGACAUCAAGCCGUCAGUCCAGUCUGCAUUUCUUGAUAUCCAAUUGUUUCCUGAGCCAGAACUCUUCGCCAAGAGUGAGGGAAAAAAAUACUUACCUCUCGGCAAAGGCCUGCUCUGCUUGCUCAUCCCAUGGAGAAACCAAGAUGUCUGAGAUUUGCCGAGACUUUCAGGAGUCCAGACUUUCCGGCACAUGAACUGCGAAGAGACACCAGCAUCUGUUAAGGAUAAGGCAGCAGAAAGUUAUUGUCUCAGUGUUCCCAGAUUUCCUCGCAUCAAGGAGUAUCCAAACAAGGUCAUACUCUGGAGGGUCAUGAAUCAAGUUGAGGACUUGCUUGGCUGUGAUAUAAGGAAGCACUGAUUGUACAGGUAAUAGCCUCACCUGUCCCAGUCCAUAAACCUUCUCGCAACUGCCUUCGCUUUCUUUUUCCUUGUCAUCCAUUUUUCUUUCUCUUUCUCCUAAAUUCAUCUGCUUCUAUGAUUAUCUGAAACCAUGAAUAUGACCAAACACCAUUACAUUGGGUUGCUAUGAGUUUUCUGGGCUGUAUGGCCAUGUUCCAGAAGCAUUCUCUCAUGACGUUUUGCCCACAUCUAUGGCAGGCAUCCUCAGAGGUUGUGAGGCCUGUUGGAAACUAGGCAAGUGAGGUUUAUAUAUCUGUAGAAUGUCUUAGAAGACAGCGAAAUUCCAGACAGGAAGCAAUCAGGGCCAGCUAACACCUCCCAAGGCUAAUCAAGGUGGCUAAUUGCAACAUUCACACUUGCCUCAAACACAUUCACAUUUUUCUCCCACCCUGGACAUUCCACAAAUACAGGGUGUUUGAAAAAGAACUCCCUAGUUUUAAGUACAAAUACAUUUAAACUAGGGAGUUCUUUUUCUUUUCUUUCUUUUUAAAUAAUUUUUAUUGAAGAAUUUCUUUACAAACACAUAGACUGAGACAGGGGAGAGAGGAUGGGAUAGGCGGGGGAGGGGGAGUGACUUGGGGUGGGGUACCGUAAAGGGUGGGAUGGGUUAGAAAGGGGUGGAGGAGACAUGUAGGAAAAGGGGUUUUUAGGUUGGGUUAAACAAUCGGGGGAGAGGGGUAGGGUUGACUUCCGGAUAGUUUCGUCAUGGUUCAAACACCC
This 1367-nucleotide long non-coding RNA is filed under the name Anolis carolinensis (green anole). RNAcentral's name for it is "lncRNA (ENSACAG00000042632.1)". The record is from RNAcentral. Lineage: Eukaryota; Metazoa; Chordata; Lepidosauria; Squamata; Anolidae.